RNAcentral lists this microRNA (21 nucleotides) under Zea mays. Its description in RNAcentral is "microRNA miR-3221". The record is from RNAcentral. Lineage: Eukaryota; Viridiplantae; Streptophyta; Magnoliopsida; Poales; Poaceae.
UCCUAACGGGUUGUUAUGGCC